This 253-nucleotide ribosomal RNA is filed under the name uncultured bacterium. Its description in RNAcentral is "partial 16S ribosomal RNA". It matches the Rfam family "Bacterial small subunit ribosomal RNA", at positions 524 to 776 of the family's 1533-position model. The record is from RNAcentral.
UACGAAGGGGGCUAGCGUUGCUCGGAAUCACUGGGCGUAAAGGGUGCGUAGGCGGGUCUUUAAGUCAGAGGUGAAAUCCUGGAGCUCAACUCCAGAACUGCCUUUGAUACUGAGGGUCUUGAGUAUGACAGAGGUGAGUGGAACUGCGAGUGUAGAGGUGAAAUUCGUAGAUAUUCGCAGGAACACCAGUGGCGAAGGCGGCUCACUGGUCCGAUACUGACGCUGAGGUGCGAAAGCGUGGGGAGCAAACAGG